GUGAGAAUCUGCCUUGGGGUCGGGGACAACCACUGGAAACGGUGGCUAAUACCGGAUAAGCCUUUGGGUAAAAGAUUUAUUGCCCCAAGAGGAGCUCGCGUCUGAUUAGCUAGUUGGUGAGGUAAAAGCUCACCAAGGCAGCGAUCAGUAGCUGGUCUGAGAGGACGAUCAGCCACACUGGGACUGAGACACGGCCCAGACUCCUACGGGAGGCAGCAGUGGGGAAUUUUCCGCAAUGGGCGAAAGCCUGACGGAGCAAGACCGCGUGAGGGAGGAAGGCUCUUGGGUUGUAAACCUCUUCUCUCAGGGAAGAAGCUCUGACGGUACCUGAGGAAUCAGCCUCGGCUAACUCCGUGCCAGCAGCCGCGGUAAUACGGAGGAGGCAAGCGUUAUCCGGAAUUAUUGGGCGUAAAGCGUCCGCAGGUGGCGAUUCAAGUCUGCUGUCAAAGCACGGGGCUUAACUCCGUUAAGGCAGUGGAAACUGAAUAGCUAGAGUGCCGUAGGGGUAGAGGGAAUUCCCGGUGUAGCGGUGAAAUGCGUAGAGAUCGGGAAGAACAUCGGUGGCGAAAGCGCUCUACUGGACGGCAACUGACACUCAGGGACGAAAGCUAGGGGAGCGAAUGGGACUAGAUACCCCAGUAGUCCUAGCUGUAAACGAUGGAUACUAGGUGUAGCUUGUAUCGACCCGAGCUGUGCCGAAGCUAACGCGUUAAGUAUCCCGCCUGGGGAGUACGCACGCAAGUGUGAAACUCAAAGGAAUUGACGGGGGCCCGCACAAGCGGUGGAGUAUGUGGUUUAAUUCGAUGCAACGCGAAGAACCUUACCAGGGCUUGACAUGUCCGGAAUCCCGGUGAAAGCUGGGAGUGCCUUCGGGAGCCGGAACACAGGUGGUGCCUGGCUGUCGUCAGCUCGUGUCGUGAGAUGUUGGGUUAAGUCCCGCAACGAGCGCAACCCUGAUGUUUAGUUGCCAGCAUUAAGUUGAACACUCUAGAGAGACCACCGGUGACAAACCGGAGGAAGGUGG
RNAcentral lists this ribosomal RNA (1024 nucleotides) under uncultured organism. RNAcentral's name for it is "bacterial SSU rRNA". It matches the Rfam family "Bacterial small subunit ribosomal RNA", at positions 117 to 1176 of the family's 1533-position model. The record is from RNAcentral.